RNAcentral lists this ribosomal RNA (2914 nucleotides) under Nitrosomonas mobilis. RNAcentral's name for it is "bacterial LSU rRNA". It matches the Rfam family "Bacterial large subunit ribosomal RNA". The record is from RNAcentral. Lineage: Bacteria; Pseudomonadati; Pseudomonadota; Betaproteobacteria; Nitrosomonadales; Nitrosomonadaceae.
UCAAGCAAAUAAGUGCAUGUGGUGGAUGCCUUGGCGAUUACAGGCGAUGAAGGACGUGGAAGCCUGCGAAAAGCUUCGGGGAGCUGGCAAUCAAGCUUUGAUCCGGAGAUGUCCGAAUGGGAAAACCCACCCGUAAGGGUAGCUUCUCUUGAAUAUAUAGAGAGAAAGCGGCUAACCUGGUGAACUGAAACAUCUAAGUAACCAGAGGAAAAGAAAUCAACCGAGAUUCCCAAAGUAGUGGCGAACGAAAUGGGAUCAGCCUGCAAUUUUUAGCAUUAAGAUUAGCUGAAUUUUCUGGAAAGUUAAGCGAUAUUGGGUGAUAGCCCCGUAAGCAAAAAUCAUAAUGUGGAACUAAGAUUGCGACAAGUAGGGCGGGGCACGUGAAACCUUGUCUGAACAUGGGGGGACCAUCCUCCAAGGCUAAAUACUCGUAAUCGACCGAUAGUGAACCAGUACCGUGAGGGAAAGGCGAAAAGAACCCCGGAAGGGGAGUGAAAUAGAUCCUGAAACCGCAUGCAUACAAACAGUGGGAGCCCCAGCUUUAAUGGUCUUUAAUAGAGGAUUAUUAAAGCUGGGGUGACUGCGUACCUUUUGUAUAAUGGGUCAGCGACUUACAUUCAGUAGCAAGCUUAACCGUUUAGGGGAAGCGCAGCGAAAGCGAGUCUUAAUAGGGCGUUUAGUUGCUGGGUGUAGACCCGAAACCAGAUGAUCUACUCAUGGCCAGGAUGAAGCAAAGGUAAUACUUUGUGGAGGUCCGAACCCACUAAUGUUGAAAAAUUAGGGGAUGAGCUGUGGGUAGGGGUGAAAGGCUAAACAAAUCUGGAAAUAGCUGGUUCUCUCCGAAAACUAUUUAGGUAGUGCCUCAUAUAUCACCUUUGGGGGUAGAGCACUGUUAUGGCUAGGGGGUCGUCAAGACUUACCAAACCAUGGCAAACUCCGAAUACCAAAGAGUGCAAGUAUGGGAGACAGACAUCGGGUGCUAACGUUCGGUGUCGAAAGGGAAACAACCCAGACCCUCAGCUAAGGUCCCAAAGACACAGUUAAGUGGUAAACGAAGUGGGAAGGCAUAGACAGUCAGGAAGUUGGCUUAGAAGCAGCCAUCCUUUAAAGAAAGCGUAAUAGCUCACUGAUCGAGUCGUCCUGCGCGGAAGAUGUAACGGGGCUAAACUGUGCACCGAAGCUAGGGAUUUGCAAGUAAUUGCAGAUGGUAGGAGAGCGUUCCGUAGGCCUGCGAAGGUGAUCUGUGAAGAUUGCUGGAGGUAUCGGAAGUGCGAAUGCUGACAUGAGUAGCGAUAAAGGAAGUGAAAGGCUUCCUCGCCGAAAACCCAAGGUUUCCUGUGCAACGUUCAUCGACGCAGGGUGAGUCGGCCCCUAAGGUAAGGCAGAAAUGCGUAGCUGAUGGGAAGCUGGUUAAUAUUCCAGCACCUUUAUUUAAUGCGAUGUGGGGACGAAGAAGGCUAACUUAUCCGGGUGUUGGAUGUCCCGGUUGAAGCGUGUAGACAUGCUGCCUAGGCAAAUCCGGGUAGCUAAGUUGAGGCGUGAUAACGAAACUCCUUAGGGAGCCAAGUAAGUGAUGCCCUGCUUCCAAGAAAAGCCACUAAGCUUCAGUUAAAUAAAGACCGUACCGCAAACCGACACAGGUGGGUGGGAUGAGAAUUCUAAGGCGCUUGAGAGAACUCGGGAGAAGGAACUCGGCAAAUUGACACCGUAACUUCGGGAGAAGGUGUGCCUCCGGUAUGUGUAGCAUCUUGCAUGCGAAGCGGAAAGAGGUUGCAAUAAAAAGGUGGCUGCGACUGUUUAAUAAAAACAUAGCACUCUGCAAACACGAAAGUGGACGUAUAGAGUGUGACGCCUGCCCGGUGCCGGAAGGUUAAGUGAUGGGGUGCAAGCUCUUGAUCGAAGCCCCGGUAAACGGCGGCCGUAACUAUAACGGUCCUAAGGUAGCGAAAUUCCUUGUCGGGUAAGUUCCGACCUGCACGAAUGGCGUAACGAUGGCCACACUGUCUCCUCCCGGGACUCAGCGAAGUUGAAAUGUUUGUGAAGAUGCAAUCUACCCGCGGCUAGACGGAAAGACCCCGUGCACCUUUACUGUAGCUUUACAUUGGAUUUUGAUCAUGUUUGUGUAGGAUAGGUGGGAGGCUAUGAAAUAUGCUCGCCAGAGUGUAUGGAGCCAACCUUGAAAUACCACCCUAGCAUUAUCGAAAUUCUAACCUAGGUCCAUUAUCUGGAUCAGGGACCGUGUAUGGUAGGCAGUUUGACUGGGGCGGUCUCCUCCCAAAGAGUAACGGAGGAGUGCGAAGGUACGCUAGGCACGGUCGGAAAUCGUGCUGAUAGUGCAAUGGCAUAAGCGUGCUUGACUGCGAGACUGACAAGUCGAGCAGAUGCGAAAGCAGGUCAUAGUGAUCCGGUGGUUCUGUAUGGAAGGGCCAUCGCUCAACGGAUAAAAGGUACGCCGGGGAUAACAGGCUGAUUCCUCCCAAGAGUUCAUAUCGACGGGGGAGUUUGGCACCUCGAUGUCGGCUCAUCACAUCCUGGGGCUGAAGCCGGUCCCAAGGGUAUGGCUGUUCGCCAUUUAAAGUGGUACGUGAGCUGGGUUUAAAACGUCGUGAGACAGUUUGGUCCCUAUCUGCCGUGGGCGUUGGAAGUUUGAGUGGGGCUGCUCCUAGUACGAGAGGACCGGAGUGGACGCACCUCUGGUGUACCGGUUGUCACGCCAGUGGCAUCGCCGGGUAGCUAUGUGCGGAAGAGAUAACCGCUGAAAGCAUCUAAGCGGGAAACUUGCCACAAGAUUAGACUUCCCGGGAGUAUAACUCCCCUAAAGGUUCGUUGAAGACUACAACGUUGAUAGGUCGAAUGUGGAAGCGCAGUAAUGUGUUGAGCUAAUCGAUACUAAUUGACCGUGAGGCUUGAUCCU